GGUGCACAUAAUAUUAUAUGUCUUAUUUUUCUUGUUUUUAUAUUUUUUAUGUGUUUAUUUUAAUUUUUUUCUUUUUCAAAAAAUUUUAAAAAAUUUUCAAAAUAUUUUUCAGUUUUUAUUUUAACAUCACUUCUUUACUUAAAAAAGAACAAACAAUUAAUUGAAUUAAUUGUAAUGAUUUUUUUUUUAUUUUAGCUCAGCACGAAUAAUUUAA
RNAcentral lists this long non-coding RNA (214 nucleotides) under Gossypium raimondii (Peruvian cotton). RNAcentral's name for it is "long non-coding RNA (GRAI_LNC003704)". Lineage: Eukaryota; Viridiplantae; Streptophyta; Magnoliopsida; Malvales; Malvaceae. The record is from RNAcentral.